Coregonus clupeaformis (lake whitefish) is the source of this 409-nucleotide long non-coding RNA. RefSeq lists it as uncharacterized. The transcript is spliced from 5 exons. The record is from RefSeq and is a predicted model, not a curated record. NCBI's taxonomy places the organism in Eukaryota, Metazoa, Chordata, Actinopteri, Salmoniformes, Salmonidae.
UAAGACUCACAAAUGGUAGUCUGUCAAACCUGGAGGAUUUACAAACAGUUUUUUCAACUUGAGUUGCCCAUGGAGUCCAUGGGGGAUCAUAAAGAGGGGACGGGAUCAUGUAAAAUGUCUCAACCUUGAUGAUAGCUCAGCCAUCACCACCGAUCACAUAAAGUUUAUCUACUCUUGUUAACAGGAUAUGAGGAUGGAAGACAUGUCAGCAUCUCAACUAAAUCAAGACUGGACAUAGACCAAAGCUGGGGUCCUAUCUGGUGUCAAACAGUAAGCCCUCAUGGACGAUAGGGCUUUCUGCUUCAGAUUAAGGAAGAGCAGCUCUGAGAUCCCCAAAGACUUGAAGAUAGGAGUUGUUUGGAGCUCUAUACCUAAUGUUAUUUUGGUCAAUAAAUCUUGAUUACUUUGA